GGCAUGGACGAUGCCCCCAUCCCUGGACGGUCAACUCACGUGAAAGGUGCGCCGGACGCCUGAGUCGAGAUUCUCCGUUUUCACCUUCCACGCAAGUGCAUCUGCGGAGUUGAGAAUGAACACGAGAGGCUUCUGGUGGCGCAGCAGUGACUGGAUGGGCUUCAGCUUCCCUCCCUUCGGUUCUGCCGCGGACUGUGGAAAAACCCCUCUCAUUGGUCCUCGGAGAGCAACAACGAGCGCAAACAACAAGCGUCAGAUAGCAUCGCGCGAGCCGGAGAGAGCACAUGAAAAGUUUUGAAGGCGCAGACAGAAAAAGGCCAGAUGUGAAUCACCUGAACGGCAUCAACGACAGAGCUGAGAGGAGCCUUUGUGUGUUGGCUGCCUCCAGGUCUCUGAGGGGGCGCGGCGCCUCUUAGGUUGACCACGUGGACUUCUUGCGGGAGCCCGGCAGUGCCCCGGCUUGCGCAACCCGACAGCGCAGUGAAGCUUUUACUCAUGGCUUGCACUGGGUGGCCGGCGCCCACCGGCAGCAACUCGCAGGGGCUGCGAAACAACGGUCCUGCAAGAAAAAAAAAGAAUGUAGUCAACAAAUGCCGCAAAUAGUGUGGUCGAGUGAAAAAAAGGGAUAAUAAGCCAAGCAUAUUUUCUCCUUCGAACAAUGUAGCGUCACCAAGUCUGACUAUUUACGGGCUGUUUAAUGUGAAAUAAACACCCACAUUUCCAAUUACGUUCUCCAACUGUUUUUCCCCCUUUCUUUGGUCAUAUUUUCCCUCGAGGAGAGCCAGCCGUCACGCUCUCAUCGCCGCACCUGAGUUUACGCUACCGC
This is a long non-coding RNA of Corythoichthys intestinalis (scribbled pipefish), 826 nucleotides long. RefSeq lists it as uncharacterized. The record is from RefSeq and is a predicted model, not a curated record. Lineage: Eukaryota; Metazoa; Chordata; Actinopteri; Syngnathiformes; Syngnathidae. The transcript is spliced from 3 exons.